RNAcentral lists this ribosomal RNA (620 nucleotides) under Prevotella denticola. RNAcentral describes it as "bacterial SSU rRNA". It matches the Rfam family "Bacterial small subunit ribosomal RNA", at positions 371 to 991 of the family's 1533-position model. The record is from RNAcentral. Lineage: Bacteria; Pseudomonadati; Bacteroidota; Bacteroidia; Bacteroidales; Prevotellaceae.
AUGGGCGGAAGCCUGAACCAGCCAAGUAGCGUGCAGGAUGACGGCCCUACGGGUUGUAAACUGCUUUUAUGCGGGGAUAAAGUGAGGGACGUGUCCCUUUUUGCAGGUACCGCAUGAAUAAGGACCGGCUAAUUCCGUGCCAGCAGCCGCGGUAAUACGGAAGGUCCGGGCGUUAUCCGGAUUUAUUGGGUUUAAAGGGAGCGUAGGCCGGGGAUUAAGUGUGUUGUGAAAUGUAGGCGCCCAACGUCUGACUUGCAGCGCAUACUGGUUCCCUUGAGUACGCGCAACGCCGGCGGAAUUCGUCGUGUAGCGGUGAAAUGCUUAGAUAUGACGAAGAACCCCGAUUGCGAAGGCAGCCGGCGGGAGCGCAACUGACGCUGAAGCUCGAAGGUGCGGGUAUCGAACAGGAUUAGAUACCCUGGUAGUCCGCACGGUAAACGAUGGAUGCCCGCUGUCGGCGCCUUGCGCCGGCGGCCAAGCGAAAGCGUUAAGCAUCCCACCUGGGGAGUACGCCGGCAACGGUGAAAACUCAAAGGAAUUGACGGGGGCCCGCACAAGCGGAGGAACAUGUGGUUUAAUUCGAUGAUACGCGAGGAACCUUACCCGGGCAUGAAUCGCAG